GGUGCCAGCAGCCGCGGUAAUUCCAGCUCCAAUAGCGUAUAUUAAAGUUGUUGCGGUUAAAAAGCUCGUAGUCUGAGUUCUGUUCCGGACUGGUCGGGGAGGUCACCGCCCGGUGCUUCCCCGUCAGGUUCCGAACAGCCUCCGCCGCGAGCGGGGGCCAAGCCGGUUCUGCCGGGGUGCUCUUGACCGAGUGUCCCGCGCGGCCGGCCGGUUCACCUUGAACAAAUGAGAGUGCUCAAAGCAGGCUACUCUUGACACUAAAGCCCGAAUGUUAACUGCAUGGAAUGAUGGAAGAUGAUCUCGGUUCCAUUUUGCUGGGUGGUGGGAAUCCGAGUUAAUGAUAAACAGGGACUGUCGGGGGCAUCCGUACUACGACGCGAGAGGUGAAAUUCAGUGACCGUCGUAGGACGAACAACAGCGAAAGCAUUUGCCAAGAAUGUCUUCGUUGAUCAAGAACGAAAGUUAGAGGAUCGAAGGCGAUCAGAUACCGCCCUAGUUCUAACCCUAAACGAUGCUGACCAGCUAUUCGCCGUCGUUAUUCCCAUGACGUGGCGAGACGCCCCCGGGAAACCUCGAGUCUUUGAGUUCCGGGGGUAGUAUGGUUGCAAAACUGAAACUUAAAGGAAUUGACGGAAGGGCACCACCAGGAGUGGAGCCUGCGGCUUAAUUUGACUCAACACGGGAAACCUCACCAGGCCCGGACACCAGAAGGAUUGACAGAUUAAGAGCUCUUUCUCAAUUUGGUGGGUGGUGGUGCAUGGCCGUUCUUAGUUGGUGGAGUGAUUUGUCUGGUUAAUUCCGGUAACGAACGAGACUCUGGCCUACUAACUAGUGGGCGGGUGUUCCGGUAAGGGGCCCCGCCCGACAAUGUCUUCUUAGAGGGAUGAGCAGCGAGUAUAGCUGCAGGAGAUUGAGCAAUAACAGGUCU
RNAcentral lists this ribosomal RNA (928 nucleotides) under Synalpheus fritzmuelleri. RNAcentral's name for it is "SSU rRNA". It matches the Rfam family "Eukaryotic small subunit ribosomal RNA", at positions 563 to 1463 of the family's 1831-position model. Lineage: Eukaryota; Metazoa; Arthropoda; Malacostraca; Decapoda; Alpheidae. The record is from RNAcentral.